GACGAACGCUGGCGGCGUGCCUAAUACAUGCAAGUCGAGCGGACUUUCAAGAAGCUUGCUUUUUGAAAGUUAGCGGCGGACGGGUGAGUAACACGUGGGCAACCUGCCUGCAAGACGGGGAUAACUCCGGGAAACCGGGGCUAAUACCGGAUAAUAUCUUCCUUCGCAUGAAGGAAGGUUGAAAGGCGGCGCAAGCUGCCGCUUGCAGAUGGGCCCGCGGCGCAUUAGCUAGUUGGUGAGGUAACGGCUCACCAAGGCGACGAUGCGUAGCCGACCGGAGAGGGUGAGCGGCCACACUGGGACUGAGACACGGCCCAGACUCCUACGGGAGGCAGCAGUAGGGAAUCUUCCGCAAGGGACGAAAGUCUGACGGAGCAACGCCGCGGGAGCGAAGAAGGGCGUCGGAUCGUAAAGCUCUGUUGUCAGGGAAGAACAAGUACCGUUCGAACAGGGCGGUACCUUGACGGUACCUGAUCAGAAAGCCACGGCUAACUACGUG
RNAcentral lists this ribosomal RNA (499 nucleotides) under uncultured bacterium. Its description in RNAcentral is "partial 16S ribosomal RNA". It matches the Rfam family "Bacterial small subunit ribosomal RNA", at positions 28 to 507 of the family's 1533-position model. The record is from RNAcentral.